This 406-nucleotide ribosomal RNA is filed under the name uncultured bacterium. Its description in RNAcentral is "partial 16S ribosomal RNA". It matches the Rfam family "Bacterial small subunit ribosomal RNA", at positions 30 to 526 of the family's 1533-position model. The record is from RNAcentral.
AUUGAACGCUGGCGGCAGGCCUAACACAUGCAAGUCGAACGAGUGGCGGACGGGUGCGUAAUGUCUGGGACACUGCCUGAUGGAGGGGGAUACCUACUGGAAACGGUAGCUAAUACCGCAUACCCUCAGAUGUGCCCAGAUGGGAUUAGCUAGUUGGUGGGGUCACGGCUCACCAGGGCGACGAGCCCUAGCUGGUCUGAGAGGAUGACCAGCCACACUGGAACGGAGACACGGUCCAGACUCCUACGGGAGGCAGCAGUGGGGAAUAUUGCACAAUGGGCGCAAGCCUGAUGCAGCCAUGCCGCGUGUAUGAAGAAGGCGUUCGGGUUGUAAAGUACUUUCAGCGGGGAGGCGUUACCCGCAGAAGAAGCACCGGCUAACUCCGUGCCAGCCGCCGCGGUAAUUC